RNAcentral lists this ribosomal RNA (253 nucleotides) under uncultured bacterium. RNAcentral's name for it is "partial 16S ribosomal RNA". It matches the Rfam family "Bacterial small subunit ribosomal RNA", at positions 524 to 776 of the family's 1533-position model. The record is from RNAcentral.
UACAGAGGUCCCAAGCGUUGUUCGGAUUCACUGGGCGUAAAGGGUGCGUAGGUGGCGGGGUAAGUCUGAUGUGAAAUCUCCGAGCUUAACUCGGAAACUGCAUCGGAUACUGCCUUGCUCGAGGGUUGGAGGGGGGACUGGAAUACUUGGUGUAGCAGUGAAAUGCGUAGAUAUCAAGUGGAACACCAGUGGCGAAGGCGAGUCCCUGGACAACUCCUGACACUGAGGCACGAAAGCUAGGGGAGCAAACAGG